RNAcentral lists this ribosomal RNA (437 nucleotides) under Hydrogenophaga sp. RNAcentral's name for it is "partial 23S ribosomal RNA". It matches the Rfam family "Bacterial large subunit ribosomal RNA", at positions 1 to 481 of the family's 2925-position model. Lineage: Bacteria; Pseudomonadati; Pseudomonadota; Betaproteobacteria; Burkholderiales; Comamonadaceae. The record is from RNAcentral.
GGUCAAGUGAAUAAGAGCAUGUGGUGGAUGCCUUGGCGAUGAUAGGCGACGAAGGACGUGAUAGCCUGCGAUAAGCUUCGGGGAGCUGGCAAAUGAGCUUUGAUCCGGAGAUUUCCGAAUGGGGAAACCCACCUGCAAAGGUAUCGCACACUGAAUACAUAGGUGUGCGAGGCGAACCGGGUGAACUGAAACAUCUCAGUAGCUCGAGGAAAAGACAUCAACCGAGAUUCCGAAAGUAGUGGCGAGCGAAAUUGGAAGAGCCUGCUAGUGAUAGCACGACACUUAACAAAACAGUCUGGAAAGGCUGACCACAGUGGGUGAUAGUCCCGUAUGUGAAAAGAGACGUGUGGUACUGAGCUAGCGAAAAGUAGGGCGGGACACGAGAAAUCCUGUUUGAAUAUGGGGGGACCAUCCUCCAAGGCUAAAUACUCAUCAUC